Molecule: long non-coding RNA, 991 nt
Organism: Globicephala melas (long-finned pilot whale)
Lineage: Eukaryota; Metazoa; Chordata; Mammalia; Artiodactyla; Delphinidae
Source: RefSeq, a predicted model, not a curated record
GACAACUGACCCAGUGCGGAAGAGCCUUAAAAGCUAAGGAGCUCUCUCCUUCAGGACCAAGGAUGGCUUCAGUUCCAGGGAUGCUACAGUUUAUAAGCAGCUAAAUACUAGCUUUGCUCUAGGGGAAUCCAGCGGCCACGUCCCAUGUCAUGAAGAUACUCAGGCUUCUCACAUGAGGAGGAACUGAAGUCUCUGGCCAACAUCCACGUAGACACUGAGGACUGCCAAAAAUCAUGUGAGCAAGUGUGGAAGCAGAUUUUCCCCAGUCCAGCUUUCAGAUGACUGCAGUCCCAGCUAACAGCUUGACUGCGAUCUCAUGAGAGAAUCCAGCUAAGAUGCACCCAGAUGCUUUCCCCAAAGAAAUGUACGCGGGCCUCUCACUAUUGUGGCCUCUCCCGUAGCAGAGCACAGGCUCCGGACGUGCAGGCUCAGCGGCCAUGGCUCACGGGCCCAGCCGCUCUGCGGCAUGUGGGAUCUUCCCGGACUGGGGCACGAACCCAAGUCCCCUGCAUCGGCAGGUGGACUCUCAACCACUGCGCCACCAGGGAAGCCCUGUAACUUCGAUUUUUAACUUCUAUAAUCUAAAUAACAAUUAUUACUUGCAAAGUCAUUGUCUUGAAAACUAUUUUCACGAGAAAUCAUAACUCAUUUCAUUAAAAUAAAGACAGAAAAUUCAUCCUCAAAGAAAACUCAUUUGUCUUCUAAGAACAGCAUUUCAGAGAUUCAAAGAAAUUAGAAGUGGAAAAAUCAAUUAGAGAUAAUCUACCAGCUUGUCAGAAAGAAUUGCUUUCUACAAAAUAUAUUCUAUUUCUUUGUCUAGGUUAAUUUUUAAAUGUCUCAAGGGAUGGAGCACUUGUUAUAUCCCUCUGAAGUCUUUCCUUUUAUAUAACUGACCUUCCCAAGAAUCUUGUUUUUUUUCUAUUGUCUAAACUCCAUGUUAUUUAUUAAUUCUGUGCUAUUGCUUUUAAUUAUACUUUUUUCCUGUAGUAAU